This 352-nucleotide unclassified non-coding RNA is filed under the name soil metagenome. RNAcentral describes it as "partial contains 5.8S ribosomal RNA, internal transcribed spacer 2, and large subunit ribosomal RNA". The stretch from base 1 to 120 matches the Rfam family "5.8S ribosomal RNA", at positions 35 to 154 of the family's 154-position model. The record is from RNAcentral.
GAUGAAGAACGUAGCGAAAUGCGAUAAGUAAUGUGAAUUGCAGAAUUCAGUGAAUCAUCGAAUCUUUGAACGCACAUUGCGCCCGCCAGUAUUCUGGCGGGCAUGCCUGUUCGAGCGUCAUUACAACCCUCAGGCCCCCGGGCCUGGCGUUGGGGAUCGGCGGAGCCCCCCGUGGGCACACGCCGUCCCCCAAAUACAGUGGCGGUCCCGCCGCAGCUUCCAUCGCGUAGUAGCUAACACCUCGCGACUGGAGAGCGGCGCGGCCACGCCGUAAAACACCCAACUCUUCUGAAGUUGACCUCGAAUCAGGUAGGAAUACACGCUGAACUUAAGCAUAUCAAUAAGCGGAGGA